RNAcentral lists this long non-coding RNA (694 nucleotides) under Marmota monax (woodchuck). The record is from RNAcentral. Lineage: Eukaryota; Metazoa; Chordata; Mammalia; Rodentia; Sciuridae.
UGUAUAUCCUGAAAGCUGCGACACUCGGCUGACAGGGACGAGGCUCUCGGUGAAUGGAAGGACACCCCGUGUCCACGGUGGGAGACCCACCUUGGCGCCAACGCUGACUGCCGUGUCCUAGGGGACCACACACCUCCACUGGCGCCCCAAGAGCCCUUUGCACAAAAUGGAAAAGCCCAGCCUCAAAUUUAUAUGGGGUUCAAGGGACCCAAACAACAACAACAACAACAAACAACAAACACUUGAAAAUCAAUCGAUUCAGAGAACACCCAGUUUCCGGGCCAGGACUGACCACAAUCCUAGAGCGAUGGGAACCGCGGGCCCGGCCUGCAGAGGACACGGAGACGGAGGGGGGGGAAGCCCGGGAGCCCACCCUCGCACCUGUGGCCAGGGAUUCUGUUUUACUCUUUGUCAGUUGUAGGUGGACACAAUAGCUGUGCCCCUGGGCCCCAGCCCCAGCCCCGGCCAGUUGAUGGCGAGACCACGCAGCGGGUCAGAACAGUCUCUUCAACAAAUGGUGCUGAGAACACUGAUUUCCAUGUAAAAAGGGAUAAAUGUGGAUCCUUAUACAAAACCUAACUCAUAAGGGGUCCAAGACCUGAACUCAGAGCUUUAGAAGAAGACGUUGGGGAGAAUCUCCAUGAACACACACAUCUCAUGUUCCCAUGCACAGGACGCCGAGGCCCAGCGACGG